This 253-nucleotide ribosomal RNA is filed under the name uncultured bacterium. Its description in RNAcentral is "partial 16S ribosomal RNA". It matches the Rfam family "Bacterial small subunit ribosomal RNA", at positions 524 to 776 of the family's 1533-position model. The record is from RNAcentral.
UACGUAGGCAGCGAGCGUUGUUCGGAGUUACUGGGCGUAAAGGGUGCGUAGGCGGUUUUCCAAGUUUGGUGUGAAAUCUCCCGGCUCAACUGGGAGGGUGCGCCGAAAACUAGGAGACUUGAGUACCGGAGAGGUAAGCGGAAUUCCUGGUGUAGCGGUGAAAUGCGUAGAGAUCAGGAGGAACACCUGUGGUGUAGACAGCUUACUGGACGGCCACUGACGCUGAGGCACGAAAGCGUGGGUAGCAAACAGG